CCUACGGGAGACAGCAGUGGGGAAUAUUGGGCAAUGGGCGCAAGCCUGACCCAGCAACGCCGCGUGAAGGAAGAAGGCUUUCGGGUUGUAAACUUCUUUUCUGCGGGACGAAGAAAGUGACGGUACCUCAGGAAUAAGCCACUGCUAACUACGUGACAGCAGCCGCGGUCAUACGUAGGAUCCGAGCAUUAUACGGAGUGACUGGGUGUAAAGAGUUGCGUAGGUGGCAUAAUAAGUAGCUAGUGAAAUGUGGUGGGUGAACCAUUCAGACUAUUAGCUAAACUGUUAAACUCGAGACCGUGAGGGGUAACUGGAAUUUAUAGUGUAGGGGUGAAAGGCGGAGAUAUAAGAAGGAACACCAAUAGCGUAGGAAGGUUGCUGGGACGGUUCUGACACGAAGGCACGAAAGCGUAGGGAGCAAACAGGAUUAGAUACCCGAGUAGUC
RNAcentral lists this ribosomal RNA (445 nucleotides) under uncultured bacterium. RNAcentral's name for it is "partial 16S ribosomal RNA". It matches the Rfam family "Bacterial small subunit ribosomal RNA", at positions 338 to 795 of the family's 1533-position model. The record is from RNAcentral.